GAGCUCCAAGUGGGCCAUUUUU
This 22-nucleotide small nuclear RNA is filed under the name Arabidopsis thaliana (thale cress). RNAcentral describes it as "snRNA_17303". The record is from RNAcentral. Lineage: Eukaryota; Viridiplantae; Streptophyta; Magnoliopsida; Brassicales; Brassicaceae.